This 2016-nucleotide ribosomal RNA is filed under the name freshwater metagenome. Its description in RNAcentral is "bacterial LSU rRNA". It matches the Rfam family "Bacterial large subunit ribosomal RNA", at positions 623 to 2661 of the family's 2925-position model. The record is from RNAcentral.
GCGACUUAUAGUUAGAGGCAGGUUAAGGUAGUGAAUACUGAAGCCACAGUGAAAGCGAGCCUGAAUAGGGCGUUUGUCACUAGUUAUAGACCCGAACCCGGAUGAUCUAACCAUGGUCAGGUUGAAGCUUAGGUAAUACUAAGUGGAGGACCGAACCGACUGAUGUUGAAAAAUCAGCGGAUGAAUUGUGGUUAGGGGUGAAAUGCCAAUCGAAUCCGGAGCUAGCUGGUUCUCCCCGAAAUGCGUUUAGGCGCAGCGGUAAAUGUUAUAAUUUAGGGGUAAAGCACUGUUACGUAUGCGGGCUGGUAAUUCGGUACCAAAUCGUUGCAAACUAAGAAUACUAAAUGUAUAGUUUACCAGUAAGACUGUGGGGGAUAAGCUCCAUUGUCAAGAGGGAAACAGCCCAGAGCACCAGUUAAGGCCCUUAAAUAAUUACUAAGUGGUAAAGGAGGUGGGGGUGCAUAGACAAUCAGGAGGUUUGCUUAGAAGCAGCAAUCCUUUAAAGAGUGCGUAAUAGCUCACUGAUCGAGUAAACCUGCGCCGAAAAUGUAUGGGACUAAGUAAUUUGCCGAAACUGUGCGAUAUAUAUUUAUAUAUCGGUAGGGGAGCGUUCUGUUGUAGGUCGAAGUAUUAGCGUAAGCGGGUAUGGACGAAGCAGAAGUGAGAAUGUCGGCUUGAGUAACGAAAAUAUAGGUGAGAAUCCUAUACCCCGAAAACCUAAGGUUUCCUCCGGAAGGCUCGUCCGCGGAGGGUAAGUCAGGACCUAAGGCGAGGCUGAAAAGCGUAGUCGAUGGACAACGGGUUAAUAUUCCCGUACCGUUUUUUAUUGAUAUCGAGGGACGGAGAAGGCUAAGCUAGCCGGAUAUUGGUUUUACCGGUUUAAACGUUCGAGAUGUUGAGAAGCGGAGAAAACGCUUUGAGUUAAGACGUGAAUACGAGAUGCUAAGGCGUCGAAGUAGUGUAUGUCAUACUUCCAAGAAAAGCUUGCACUGUCAUAAAUAAAAAAUGCCUGUACCAUAACCGACACAGGUGGGUAAGUAGAGUAUACUAAGGGGCGCGAGAUAACUCUCUCUAAGGAACUCGGCAAAAUGACUCCGUAACUUCGGGAGAAGGAGUGCCUUAUUCUUAAGGUUGCAAUAACAAGAUCCAAGCAACUGUUUAUCAAAAACACAGGUCUCCGCUAAGUCGUAAGACGAUGUAUGGGGGCUGACGCCUGCCCAGUGCCAGAAGGUUAAAGAAGUCGGUUAGCAAUCGCGAAGCUGGUAACUGAAGCCCUGGUGAACGGCGGCCGUAACUAUAACGGUCCUAAGGUAGCGAAAUUCCUUGUCGGGUAAGUUCCGACCCGCACGAAAGGCGUAAUGAUUUGGAUGCUGUCUCGGAGAGAGGCUCGGUGAAAUAGACUUGUCUGUGAAGAUGCGGACUACCUGCACCAGGACAGAAAGACCCUAUGAAGCUUUACUGUAACUUGAAAUUGAAAUUGGACUUUAUUCGCGCAGUAUAGGUGGGAGGCGUUGAUUAUAAUCUUGCGGGAUUAUUGGAGCCAUCAGUGAGAUACCACUCUUGUAAUGUUAGAUUUCUAACUUUGAAUCAUUAUCUGGUCAAAGGACAAUUUCAGGCGGGCAGUUUGACUGGGGCGGUCGCCUCCUAAAUGGUAACGGAGGCGUACAAAGGUUUCCUCUGAACGGUUAGAAAUCGUAUCUAGAGUGUAAAGGCAUAAGGAAGCUUGACUGUGAGACCUACAAGUCGAGCAGGGACGAAAGUCGGUCUUAGUGAUCUGACGGUACUGAGUGGAAAGGCCGUCACUCAACGGAUAAAAGUUACUCUAGGGAUAACAGGCUGAUCUCCCCCAAGAGUUCACAUCGACGGGGAGGUUUGGCACCUCGAUGUCGGCUCGUCACAUCCUGGGGCUGGAGAAGGUCCCAAGGGUUGGGCUGUUCGCCCAUUAAAGUGGCACGCGAGCUGGGUUCAGAACGUCGUGAGACAGUUCGGUCCCUAUCUGUGAUGGGCGUAGGAAGU